GACGAACGCUGGCGGCGUGCCUAAUACAUGCAAGUAGAACGCUGAAGAGAGGAGCUUGCUCUUCUUGAAUGAGUUGCGAACGGGUGAGUAACGCGUAGGUAACCUGCCUUGUAGCGGGGGAUAACUAUUGGAAACGAUAGCUAAUACCGCAUAACAAUGGGUGACACAUGUCAUUUAUUUGAAAGGGGCAAUUGCUCCACUACAAGAUGGACCUGCGUUGUAUUAGCUAGUAGGUGAGGUAACGGCUCACCUAGGCGACGAUACAUAGCCGACCUGAGAGGGUGAUCGGCCACACUGGGACUGAGACACGGCCCAGACUCCUACGGGAGGCAGCAGUAGGGAAUCUUCGGCAAUGGGGGCAACCCUGACCGAGCAACGCCGCGUGAGUGAAGAAGGUUGUCGGAUCGUAAAGCUCUGUUGUAAGUCAAGAAUGAGUGUGAGAGUGGAAAGUUCACACUGUGACGGUAGCUUACCAGAAAGGGACGGCUAACUACGUG
This 497-nucleotide ribosomal RNA is filed under the name uncultured bacterium. Its description in RNAcentral is "partial 16S ribosomal RNA". It matches the Rfam family "Bacterial small subunit ribosomal RNA", at positions 28 to 507 of the family's 1533-position model. The record is from RNAcentral.